GGCAUAAUGCACCCAGCACUGCCCAGAACUGUUUGAUUUAUUAAGAAGAAUAAAGGCACAUUGAAUUGUUUAUAAGUUUAUUCAUUGAUGACACUGGCAUUUGGUCAACAAACUUAAAUACCACUUGAAAAGACCUAAAAUGAUUGCUAUUUCUAAAGCAAUUGGAACUCUUUCCCUAAAUGAGUCUGUGCUUGACAAACUAAGACAGAUGGGUAUUAGCAGAGAUCUCUGACGUCUCAAUGCUUUUGAAUAUGAAGGUCACAGAGAAAUAAACUAUUACCGAUUGUUUGUGUUUUCUUCCAAGGUAUUUAUUCCAUAAAUUAAUAGCUGGCAAUCACUUCUUGAUUAAAUGAAAAGGUAUAUAAAUGAAGUGACCAUAAGUUUUAGUUGUGAAAAUAAAAUGUUAAAUAUUAAUCAUAUAGCCUGGUUAGAUACUAUAGUAUAGUAAUAGAUAC
This 455-nucleotide long non-coding RNA is filed under the name Bos taurus (domestic cattle). Its description in RNAcentral is "long non-coding RNA NONBTAT021819". Lineage: Eukaryota; Metazoa; Chordata; Mammalia; Artiodactyla; Bovidae. The record is from RNAcentral.